UUCCCAAAGGCUAAAAUAAUGAAAUAAUUAAAAUAUCAUCCUAGGAUAGGGAAAAAUCAUAAACAAGGUAAGUGAUAACUAAUUCUAAAAGCAUACAAAUAAUUAAAAUUAAAUCCAAAACUUCCAUAGAAUAUUCACCACUAGAAAAAUAAAUUUACUCCCUCAAACUUAAACUAAACAUUGUCCUCAAUGUUAGAAAAAAUAAAAGAAAGGUAAAGAAUAC
Molecule: long non-coding RNA, 223 nt
Filed under: Theobroma cacao (cacao)
Lineage: Eukaryota; Viridiplantae; Streptophyta; Magnoliopsida; Malvales; Malvaceae
Description: long non-coding RNA (TCAC_LNC005751)
Source: RNAcentral